RNAcentral lists this ribosomal RNA (36 nucleotides) under Inosperma viridipes. Its description in RNAcentral is "partial large subunit ribosomal RNA". Lineage: Eukaryota; Fungi; Basidiomycota; Agaricomycetes; Agaricales; Inocybaceae. The record is from RNAcentral.
UUGACCUCAAAUCAGGUAGGACCACCCGCUGAACUU